UACGGAGGGUGCAAGCGUUGUCCGGAAUCACUGGGCGUAAAGGGCGCGUAGGCGGCUCGGUAAGUAGGGGGUGAAAUCCUGCGGCUUAACCGCAGGGCUGCCUUCUAAACUGUCGAGCUUGAGCACGGUAGAGGCAGAUGGAAUUCCCGGUGUAGCGGUGGAAUGCGUAGAGAUCGGGAAGAACAUCAGUGGCGAAGGCGGCUUCCUGGACCGGUUCUGACACUGAGGAGCGAAAGCGUGGGGAGCGAUCCGG
Molecule: ribosomal RNA, 253 nt
Filed under: uncultured bacterium
Lineage: Bacteria
Description: partial 16S ribosomal RNA
Rfam family: Bacterial small subunit ribosomal RNA
Source: RNAcentral